This is a long non-coding RNA of Raphanus sativus (radish), 735 nucleotides long. RefSeq lists it as uncharacterized. The record is from RefSeq and is a predicted model, not a curated record. NCBI's taxonomy places the organism in Eukaryota, Viridiplantae, Streptophyta, Magnoliopsida, Brassicales, Brassicaceae. The transcript has 6 exons.
AUCUCCAACAAUGGCGAGUUCCUCCAUCUUGCUUGCUAAUUUACAAGCUAACCGCUGCUUAGACACUUUUCAGUGAUUGAGAGUAAUGAAUGGCGGGAGACACAUUUAAAGCACUUACAAACCUUGUGUGCUCAUGUUUGUUAGGAAUCGGUGAUAGCUUUCUUUUUCUCUAGCUUAUAGAGAAAGUUUGUAUCAAACAAAUAAUUUUGAAGCUUGCUUUGGACAAUGAUUGAUUGUGGCAUACUCAGGAUGAUCUGCAAGUUGGACUCAAAGACCUACAAGACUUUCUGAAACCAACGUAACAAGUGAAUUCUUACCAGGAUAUUUGAUCGAUAUAGUCAAUAAACACCAGAAGCUAGGACAAGCAUUUUUUACCAUUACAUUAAUGCUGGAACCAUCAGGCCAACAAGACUUGGAGAGCAGUCAAAACUCAUUGAAUUUGGUACAAUGCAUUGUCUCUGUGAUCUUGCUGAUGCACAAGGACAUCAAAGUCAAGGAAGAUAUUAUCACCAUCCAAGUCAGAGAUUGAAUUGGUUCUGCACAACGUUAUCACACUGCAGUCCUCCGAUCUUGACUGUAGCCAUAUGAUGAAAACCACAGAAGAGCAACUUAGGAUUGCAUCUAAUAGCUUAAUAAGCUGUGCAACAAUAUAAUGAUUUGUGCUCUCGGUGUAAAAACUAUAUGACUUUCCUUUUUUUAAUUUGGGAAAGCACCAAUUUAAAGUACACAAUUUUG